CACGUAGUUAGCCGUGGCUUAUUCCUAUAGUACCGUCACUUCUUCGUCCUAUAGAAAAGAAGUUUACAACCCGAAGGCCUUCUUCCUUCACGCGGUCGUUGCUGGGUCAGGCUUGCGCCCAUUGCCCAAUAUUCCCCACUGCUUGCCUCCCGUAGGAGUCUGGGCCGUGUCUCAGUCCCAAUGUGGCCGGCCAACCUCUCAGUCCGGCUACUGAUCGUCGCCUUGGUGGGCCGUUACCCCGCCAACCAGCUAAUCAGACGCGAGUCCAUCUCAGAGCGAUAAAUCUUUGAUGUCCAGAACCAUGCGAUUCAGACAUUUCAUGCGGUAUUAGCACAUCUUUCGAUGUGUUAUUCCCCUCUCCAAGGCAGGUUACUCACGCGUUACUCACCCGUCCGCCACUUUCCUCCAGUUCCCGUUGGCCGAAGCCUCCUUCCCCGGAUUCUCGUUCGACUUGCAUGUGUUAAGCACGCCGCCAGCGUUCAUCCUGAGCCCUAGGAUCGAAACUCUACUACGG
Molecule: ribosomal RNA, 514 nt
Filed under: uncultured Oscillospiraceae bacterium
Lineage: Bacteria; Bacillati; Bacillota; Clostridia; Eubacteriales; Oscillospiraceae
Description: partial 16S ribosomal RNA
Source: RNAcentral